RNAcentral lists this unclassified non-coding RNA (282 nucleotides) under plant metagenome. RNAcentral describes it as "partial contains small subunit ribosomal RNA, internal transcribed spacer 1, and 5.8S ribosomal RNA". The record is from RNAcentral.
UUUCCGUAGGUGAACCUGCGGAAGGAUCAUUGUCGAAACCUGCCCAGCAGAACGACCCGCGAACUUGUAUAAACAACUGGGGGCGGGGGGCGUUCUCGCCCCGUGCCCCCGAACGGCGGGGAGACACUCGUGCCUUCUUGCCGAACAACGAGCCCCGGCGCGGUCUGCGCCAAGGAACUUCAACUAAAGAGUGCCUCCGGUCGCCUCGGAAACGGCGUGCGUGCCGGAGGCGAAUCUUGUGCAAAACCAUAACGACUCUCGGCAACGGAUAUCUCGGCUCUC